Molecule: ribosomal RNA, 484 nt
Filed under: uncultured Desulfobulbus sp.
Lineage: Bacteria; Pseudomonadati; Thermodesulfobacteriota; Desulfobulbia; Desulfobulbales; Desulfobulbaceae
Description: bacterial SSU rRNA
Rfam family: Bacterial small subunit ribosomal RNA
Source: RNAcentral
AAGGAAUUGACGGGGGCCCGCACAAGCGGUGGAGUAUGUGGUUUAAUUCGAUGCAACGCGAAGAACCUUACCUGGUCUUGACAUCCCGGAGACCCUUAGGAAACUAGGGGGUGCUUCCAUCUGGAAGAAUCUGGAGACAGGUGCUGCAUGGCUGUCGUCAGCUCGUGUCGUGAGAUGUUGGGUUAAGUCCCGCAACGAGCGCAACCCUUGCCUUUAGUUGCCAGCAGUUCGGCUGGGCACUCUAAAGGGACUGCCGGUGUUAAACCGGAGGAAGGUGGGGAUGACGUCAAGUCCUCAUGGCCUUUAUGACCAGGGCUACACACGUACUACAAUGGCCGAUACAAAGGGCAGCGACACUGCGAGGUGAAGCCAAUCCCGUAAAAUCGGUCUCAGUCCGGAUUGGAGUCUGCAACUCGACUCCAUGAAGUUGGAAUCGCUAGUAAUCGUGGAUCAGCAUGCCACGGUGAAUACGUUCCCGGGCCUU